RNAcentral lists this ribosomal RNA (253 nucleotides) under uncultured bacterium. RNAcentral describes it as "partial 16S ribosomal RNA". It matches the Rfam family "Bacterial small subunit ribosomal RNA", at positions 524 to 776 of the family's 1533-position model. The record is from RNAcentral.
UACGAAGGGGGCUAGCGUUGUUCGGAAUUACUGGGCGUAAAGCGCACGUAGGCGGGUUUGUAAGUAGGGGGUGAAAUCCCCGGGCUCAACCCGGGAACUGCCUUCUAGACUGCAAGCCUGGAGGUCAGGAGAGGCGAGUGGAAUUCCGAGUGUAGAGGUGAAAUUCGUAGAUAUUCGGAGGAACACCAGUGGCGAAGGCGACUCGCUGGACUGAUUCUGACGCUGAGGUGCGAAAGCGUGGGGAGCAAACAGG